Lynx canadensis (Canada lynx) is the source of this 766-nucleotide long non-coding RNA. RefSeq lists it as uncharacterized. The transcript has 3 exons. The record is from RefSeq and is a predicted model, not a curated record. NCBI's taxonomy places the organism in Eukaryota, Metazoa, Chordata, Mammalia, Carnivora, Felidae.
GCAGAGAUGUGGAAUCCAAUGUUGUCUUUUGUUCCAGUGGGGUGAAGGGUGGGCAGGCAGGCUGCUCUACGGAAAAGAAGCCUAAAACAAGUUCGGGAGAUUUGCUCAAGACUGAGAAGUAAAAAAACGAGCUGUGGGUCCUUAGGAUAUUAUUCCAAGAGAGCCGCUCCAGGUGAUGGGGGUGACAGGGCGGCUCAGGGAAUGCAGGUCUGGAGUAAGUGAAAUAAACACUAUGCAAGAGGGAAACACAAAGGAAAUCAAGAUGAAUUACUAAAAUAGAACUCCAGGAAAGCAAACAUUUUUGUCUGUUUCCCCACUGGCAAACUACUCCUAGCACCUGCAACAGUUCCUGGCAGAUAGCAAGCAGUGUGCAUUUAAUGACUGAAUGUGGAGUGUGCUAAUGACAUGAAGGAUGGAAGUUCAGCAGGUGCUGAUAAAUACAUGUGGAACUGAAUGCUCAGUGAGCAGCAGGACGUACAAAGACUGAGAAUUAAGAAAGUAGAGCUCGCAAGAGAAGACUCCCAAGUCCCUCUAUGGAAAUGAUGGAGUCCUAAAAACAUGGAAUUGCUGCUUUGAAGGUGAUAUACACUCAUAGCAGAUUGAAGUUUGGGAAAUGUAGAGAAGACUCUGUGCCAUUCACAGCGCACUGUGAUGACUCCAGCUGGCACUCUGUUUCAGGAGUGCUAUCAAAACUAGUUGUUGUUGUUGUUCAUUUGUUUGUUUCAAGUGUGAAUUUCGGAACAUGAAAAUAGAAAAUACAAAACUA